RNAcentral lists this long non-coding RNA (282 nucleotides) under Phoenix dactylifera (date palm). RNAcentral's name for it is "long non-coding RNA (PDAC_LNC021836)". The record is from RNAcentral. Lineage: Eukaryota; Viridiplantae; Streptophyta; Magnoliopsida; Arecales; Arecaceae.
AGGGGUGGCAAAAUAUGACCCGACCUGCCAACCCGACCCACGUUCGACCCGCCAUAAACAGGUUCGGGUUUGGCCUAAACAGGUUCGGGUCGUAAACAGGUUGACCCGUUUAACCUGUUUAUUAAUUGGGUCGGAUACGGAUUUUAAAUAUCUUGACCCGUUUAACCCGUUUAGAUUGUAAUUAAGCUGCUGCCGUUCAUCUAAGAUCAGGUGGUUUAUAAUCACUAGGAGUUCUCCAAACCCUAGGCCCCUAACCCUUUUCUAUUCCCCGUGCGCUGUGCA